CUGGCCCCGGAUCAAGGCCAGCAGUGUGCUGAAGCUGCCGGUCUCACGCAGGCACCUAAAGAAAUGUCCUCCUGCGGCCUGCUGGCUCUGCGGAACGUAGGAAUGUAACUGUCAACUCACUAGAAAGAAAUACCC
This is a small nucleolar RNA of Molossus molossus (Pallas's mastiff bat), 135 nucleotides long. The record is from RefSeq and is a predicted model, not a curated record. NCBI's taxonomy places the organism in Eukaryota, Metazoa, Chordata, Mammalia, Chiroptera, Molossidae.